This is a long non-coding RNA of Neofelis nebulosa (Clouded leopard), 4884 nucleotides long. RefSeq lists it as uncharacterized. Lineage: Eukaryota; Metazoa; Chordata; Mammalia; Carnivora; Felidae. The record is from RefSeq and is a predicted model, not a curated record. The transcript is spliced from 3 exons.
UUUGAAGAUGACUUCGGAGACUGUAAAUUCAGGAGUGUUAACUGUGGAGUGACAGGACCCUGGGGACAGGCUCAGAAUUGCUGAUCCCAGGCAGGACUUGUGCCUCAAGCUCCUCACAAAGGGGCUUCCUUAAGCUUGUCACUGAGUUGUCCCAGCAACCUGGAAAAACAGCUCCCCUCUUUGAGGUGGUAGACCAGUUUUCUGAUAUUCCCCAACCCCCAGACUAGCAAGUUCAUCUCCCCAAAAGGGAAGCUUUUUUUCUAAGAUGGUGAGAAAACACCAAUGCCAGAUAUCAUCUGGUUUCCAUUGAGGGGCUCCAAAACUCUGUCAUGGGCUAAUUGUUUCUAUUCAUACACAUGAAGAUAACCAUGAAUGAAGAUCUGUCACCAGCUCCUGGUUUUUGGUAUCACUGUAUUGACCUAGGCAUAUGGGUUAUUUUGGAGAAGCUAGUCCUUUGUUUUCUAGGCUCUUCUAUGGCACAUACUCAUGAUUCCUGCAGGGGCCUUUGGUGGCUUCUUGAGUAUCUCAGACCCUUAGGAGACAAUAGGGUUCCUUUACCUCAUUCCUUCCGUCUGGAAGUUGUGGGGCUGUUUCUGUCACCCAGCUCCUUCACUUUAACCUCUGUGGAUGUGGCUCCUGCUCAGGGUUUAAAGGGUGCAGCUCAUAUGCCAUCACCUGGAAGUAUCUAGAUACUGGUGAGAUAGGAACUCAAAUUGCUGGCUGCUCCGUUCUCUUUACCAAUAUUUAUUUCCACUUUGCAGAUGAAAACAAUUUAUUAUGAAAGCAUGCUGAUAGCCCGAAAUAACCUGAAGUGGGCACAGUCUUGUGAAAUACUUGGCAAGGGAAUAAAUACAUAUUCAGCCACUGAAACCAAAAGGUUUAUUGCCUAGGAGGGGCUCCAUGGAAACUCCUUUGCAAGGAUAUGUCUAAAGCAGUUAUUUUCCUGACUUUGGUCUUUAGUAUAUCACUCAAGAAGACAAGAUUCUGGAGAACCACAUGGAAAGGGGCUCAAUGACUAGGUGAACUUGGAAAAAGUGGCCUUGGAUGUCUCUCACAAAUUUACAACACACCCUAGAAAAAUCUACAGCACAGAAACCUAUUUACAUUUGUUUAACUCAGAAUUUCCUAUUUCCCCAUGAAAAUUUCCCUGCACAGAAUACCUGUUAAUAUGUCACAUAAUCAGUGUUCUGCAGCCCACAUUUUGUGAAUCCCCACAUCUUGAGAAGCUUUCUCCAGGCUUCUUGGAGAGGUAGGCUUCCUUAUCAGACUUUCUAAGUUGCACAUGUUUAUCAUUUGUGAGACAAGUGUCAGAGACCAUCUCAGUUAACACAGCAACUUUGAGGUAGCUAUUAAGCCUUCAAUCAGUAGUUAAUUACAUAAUUGAUAUUAGUUAUCUACUAUGGCAUGACCCCAGGGCAAGUUUGUUAUUACCUUUAUUUUAUAGGUGUAGAUGGGGAAACUGAGUCCCAGGAAAGGUAAAUAAUCUAUCCGAAGUCACAUGAUCUUCAGGUAAUAGAGCCAGAAAGAAAAUCCAGUUUCUCCGAUUCCCAGUCUUUGGUUGUUUCCAGUUUUUUCAGACUGCAGAGGAGUUACUACUGCCAUUCUUGCACCAACAUCACUCUAGAAGUUCAGAACAGGGUUGCUAAAGAGGUCUUUUUUAUGAACUUGAUUGAGACCUUGUCCUUCCUCAUCUCCCAGCCUGUGCUUUCCCUGUGUCCAGCUCUGAGUUAGAGGAGGGAGGUUGGAGAGUUACUUUUUUAAAGAUGUUUUUAUUUAUUUUUGAGAGAGCACAAGCAAGGAAGGAGCAGAGAGAGGGGGGGACAGAGGAACUGACGUGGGCUCUGCGCUGACAGCAGCGAGCCUGAUGUGGGGCUUGAACUCACAAACUGAACCACAAGAUCAUGACCUGAGCUGAAGUCGGACACUCAACUGACUGAGCUACCCAGAUGCCCUGCAAAUCACUCAAGUAGAGAGACCCACUCAGACCUGGGGAGAAGGAGUCAUGUCCACAUGACGCUCAGAACCCCAGUGACUUUUGCAUUUGCAUAUCCCAAAGACAGGAAGCAAGAUGGCUUAACUCAAGACCUUUGAAUCUCCCCCUCCUUGGCUGCUAUGUAGGAGAUUCUCUCCCAGACACGAAGCUUCAAGAUGAUCAUUCUAAUGGAUUCCGAGGCACAGUGUGUGGAGUGGGAAGCCUUUGGACUCUGGGUUUCCUGUGUUGUGGUCUAAAACCUGUUCAGUCAAGUCGAAUUGUACUGGUAUUCUGCAGUUUGUGUUGGGAGCCCAUGGCCAGCUGUUUAUUAUUUUAAAAACUCUGGGUUGCUGCCUUUAUGCAUGGGGGUGGGAGGGCAGCCUACUGUGCAAGGCGGCUGCCACCUUCUUCUGGGAAUGACAAUGUUGCUCUGUAUACUCCACGGGGGCCCCUCAGGCAGAGCUACCGCAUUCCGGAGCUCUACGCAGCCAGACGAACAGAGACGAUUUCAUCUCACCAGUUAUCGAGACAAAGUCAGGGCUCUAGCAAUUGUGUUCCUCCCUGUCAUAUAAUCUUUACAUGAGGAAGACCCCACUAAGGCCUUGAGACCAGGACCCUCACAGCUUCACCAGAGUACUGGGGAAACGUGUUCACACUGGGCUUUAUGAAACACACUCUUGCCUUCCUCACCUUUCAAAAUGUGUCCCUGCUGGGUGCCCUACAUGGUAAGAAUGUCUCAGUGUCCCACUGGAACAUUUGUUAUUGCCCAAUCCAGCUCAACACCCCUUCCAGCCAUGUCCCAAGAAGCCAGCGCUGAGCACUUGAAAUAAAACAGAGCGAUGUCCUCGAGCUGUAAAUGCCUCCCAAAGACAAACGGACAGAACUUCAUUGUUUCAGGGAAGAAGGCGCCUCACAUAGCGGUCACAUUGUGGUUACCGGGGGCCCGAUGAUUAAUCCACAGAGAGGAUGUGCAGGAGAGAGGAGCUGGCAUCAUUCCUGCAGAUGAAGAUUCUUUAAAAUUUCAUGUCUCUGACUGAACAUGUGCCCCAGAAACACAAGAUUUCCAUUGUUAAGGUCUCUUUGGUGACCUCAUUUUCCCAGUCGUGAGUUGGCAUGGCAUGCAGCUCUGAAUGGGACCUUUUGUAACUGGAAAUUCCACAGUUCCAGCUGCCCCUGACUCUCGUCCAUGCCAGAUGACAUCCCCAGAGACUUUGAAGUUGCAUGUUUGAAUGAAACACAGCCCCACCCCACCUCUCACCCUAUGUGCCUGCCCACAGUAUCAGGCAGACUCUGGGAGAGCAGUGGGACCAGCUUCUGGCUACCAACAGGAAUCCAGCACAGUGUUGUGCCUAUGCAAGGAUAGAUGAAUGAGUGGAGCUCUGAGAAAUGAGGCCCCUGGUGGAAGGGCGCUUGAGGACAUCAGGCCACUUUCCUUGCAUCUAUGAAGUCAUACCAUGUUGGCUGACACCUCAUAAGCCUGGACACAAUGCAAGUAUCCCAAUCUGUUAAACUUAUUUGUCCAUUUACAAUUUCAUUCGAUGUUUACUGAGCACCAACUUUCUGUUAGGUCAUGCUGGGGAAGAUAGCAGAAUGAAAAAAUGUAGUCUCUGUCUCAACAAUCCAGGUGGGAGAAGACUUGAGUUUCAUGCAGAAAGCAAGAUAGCAAGGAAUGGACACUUAUCUCGUCCUGAAAGAUAGCUAUGAGAAGACUUCCUGAGUGGGAUGGCUUUGAGUUGCUACAAGGAUGUAGUAAGAAAUAAAAGUCCGUAAAGGCAUUAAGCAACAACCACAGCAACACUGUUUUUUUCUAUACUCACACCAACAUUUCUGACAUCAGAUGUGUGGGUUUUUCUACACCAAGCAAUUCUCUAGUUCUCGGCAGUCACCAGUUGAGUGUCCUACAAUUUAAAUUCCUAUACUAACUGGACAGACCACACAGGUUAAGAGCUUAGUCCACAAGACUGUCCCCCACUUCAUAAACCAAUUGCAAGGCCUGGGUUGUCACCUGUACUUCUAACUGACUGGCCAUAAACGGGGGUUCCCACAACUCCUCCUUGGAUUGGUACAUUUGCUAGAACAGGUCACAGAACUUGGGAAAACAGUUUACUUACUAGUGUACCAGUUUAUUAUAAAAGGAUACAACUCAGGAACAGCAAGAAGGAAGAGAAGCAAGCAUAGGGCAAGGUGGGAAGGGGUUCAUGGAGCUUCCAUGCCUUCUCUGGGUUCACUACCCUCCCAACACCUCAAUGUGUUCACUAACCAGGAACCUCUCUCUACCCUGUUGUUUGGGGUUUUUGUGGGGGAUUCGUUACAUAGGCAUGGUUGCUUAAAUCAUUGGCCACCGGUAAUUGAAAAUCUCCAGCCCCUCUCCCCUUCCUGAGGAGGUUGGGGAAGACCCUGAAAGUUAUAACCCUGUAAUCACAUGGCUGGUUCUCCUGGAAGCAUCCCUCCAUCUUUUGGAGCUUUCCACAAGUCACCCCAUUAGUAUAAACUCACGUAUGGUUGAAAGGGAUAUAUUAUGAAAAAUAAGAGAUGUUCCUUUCUCCUCUAUCACUCAGGAAACUCCAAGAGUUUGGCAGUUCUGUGCCAGGAAUUGGGAACAAAGAUCAAGUAUACACUUCUUAUUAUAUUACAGUAUCACAGCUUUCCAUGCAGAGGGGGCAGAGCAAUUAAAGCAGAGCAGGUGUGAAAAAAAAUGUGAGGUGUGGCUGUAAUAACGAAUUUCUGUGAGAGGGUGGGAAUGAGCUUGAACAAUCAGUAGCAGCCUUGCUGUGUUAAUGAGUUUGAAACUAUAUUAUUCUCUUGUGGGGGCAUGGAUAGUAAUUAUACUUUACACACAUAGAAUGAUUCUGUGAGCAGUAAGCACUCUGCUUUAUGUGAAUGAUCUCAUUAAAUAUUUGCUACCACUCUGA